UCAGAUUGCAGGCUGCAACUCGCCUGCAUGAAGUUGGAAUUGCUAGUAAUCGCGAAUCAGAAUGUCGCGGUGAAUACGUUCCCGGGCCUUGUACACACCGCCCGUCACACCAUGAGAGUCGGGAACACCCGAAGUCCGUAGUCUAACCGCAAGGGGGCGCGGCCGAAGGUGGGUCCGGUAAUUGGGGUGAAGUCGUAACAAGGUACC
This 207-nucleotide ribosomal RNA is filed under the name uncultured bacterium. RNAcentral's name for it is "partial 16S ribosomal RNA". It matches the Rfam family "Bacterial small subunit ribosomal RNA", at positions 1293 to 1500 of the family's 1533-position model. The record is from RNAcentral.